RNAcentral lists this ribosomal RNA (465 nucleotides) under Vreelandella stevensii. Its description in RNAcentral is "partial 16S ribosomal RNA". It matches the Rfam family "Bacterial small subunit ribosomal RNA", at positions 338 to 795 of the family's 1533-position model. Lineage: Bacteria; Pseudomonadati; Pseudomonadota; Gammaproteobacteria; Oceanospirillales; Halomonadaceae. The record is from RNAcentral.
CCUACGGGUGGCUGCAGUGGGGAAUAUUGGACAAUGGGCGAAAGCCUGAUCCAGCCAUGCCGCGUGUGUGAAGAAGGCCUUCGGGUUGUAAAGCACUUUCAGUGGGGAAGAAAGCCUUGGGGCUAAUACCCUCGAGGAAGGACAUCACCCACAGAAGAAGCACCGGCUAACUCCGUGCCAGCAGCCGCGGUAAUACGGAGGGUGCGAGCGUUAAUCGGAAUUACUGGGCGUAAAGCGCGCGUAGGCGGUCUGAUAAGCCGGUUGUGAAAGCCCCGGGCUCAACCUGGGAACGGCAUCCGGAACUGUCAGGCUAGAGUGCAGGAGAGGAAGGUAGAAUUCCCGGUGUAGCGGUGAAAUGCGUAGAGAUCGGGAGGAAUACCAGUGGCGAAGGCGGUCUUCUGGACUGACACUGACGCUGAGGUGCGAAAGCGUGGGUAGCAAACAGGAUUAGAUACCCUGGUAGUC